UAAUACGUAGGGAGCAAGCGUUGUUCGGAAUUAUUGGGCGUAAAGAGCGCGUAGGCGGCUUGGCAAGUCUGGUGUGAAAUCUCACAGCUUAACUGUGAAACUGCAUCAGAAACUGCUUGGCUAGAGUGCGGGAGAGGAGAGUGGAAUUCCCAGUGUAGAGGUGAAAUUCGUAGAUACUGGGAGGAACACCGGUGGCGAAGGCGGCUCUCUGGACCGCAACUGACGCUGAGGCGCGAAAGCUAGGGGAGCAAACGGGAUUAGAUACCCCGGUAGUCCUAGCCGUAAACGAUGGGCACUAGGUGUGGGGGGAAUUGACCCCUUCCGUGCCGCAGCUAACGCAUUAAGUGCCCCGCCUGGGGAGUACGGUCGCAAGACUA
This 377-nucleotide ribosomal RNA is filed under the name uncultured delta proteobacterium. RNAcentral's name for it is "bacterial SSU rRNA". It matches the Rfam family "Bacterial small subunit ribosomal RNA", at positions 521 to 896 of the family's 1533-position model. Lineage: Bacteria; Deltaproteobacteria. The record is from RNAcentral.